Molecule: long non-coding RNA, 295 nt
Filed under: Cucumis sativus (cucumber)
Lineage: Eukaryota; Viridiplantae; Streptophyta; Magnoliopsida; Cucurbitales; Cucurbitaceae
Description: long non-coding RNA (CSAT_LNC002625)
Source: RNAcentral
GUGUUGUGAAUUGUGAUGACGGGCAAGUGAAGAUGGGCACGUCAGCUUGGGAACAAUUUGUUUCUUUAAUAUAUAUAUGAAUGGAUCGGGUCCUCCACUCCCCGUGAAUGAAAACAGCUAUACCCAAAAGGUUACAAAUCAAUAAUGUUGUCCUUCAAAUGACGACAUUGCCCCUCUUUUACACAUUUUAUUACUACUCGAAUAAAAAAAAGAUAGUUUGCAUAUCAAACAAUUUUACAUUCUAAAUACUAGCUAUUACGACUCACUAAUGUUUCUAAAGUGGUUGGGGGUGUUG